Molecule: ribosomal RNA, 497 nt
Filed under: uncultured bacterium
Lineage: Bacteria
Description: partial 16S ribosomal RNA
Rfam family: Bacterial small subunit ribosomal RNA
Source: RNAcentral
GACGAACGCUGGCGGCGUGCCUAAUACAUGCAAGUUGAGCGCUGAAGGUUGGUACUUGUACCGACUGGAUGAGCAGCGAACGGGUGAGUAACGCGUGGGGAAUCUGCCUUUGAGCGGGGGACAACAUUUGGAAACGAAUGCUAAUACCGCAUAAAAACUUUAAACACAAGUUUUAAGUUUGAAAGAUGCAAUUGCAUCACUCAAAGAUGAUCCCGCGUUGUAUUAGCUAGUUGGUGAGGUAAAGGCUCACCAAGGCGAUGAUACAUAGCCGACCUGAGAGGGUGAUCGGCCACAUUGGGACUGAGACACGGCCCAAACUCCUACGGGAGGCAGCAGUAGGGAAUCUUCGGCAAUGGACGAAAGUCUGACCGAGCAACGCCGCGUGAGUGAAGAAGGUUUUCGGAUCGUAAGACUCUGUUGGUAGAGAAGAACGUUGGUGAGAGUGGAAAGCUCAUCAAGUGACGGUAACUACCCAGAAAGGGACGGCUAACUACGUG